RNAcentral lists this ribosomal RNA (400 nucleotides) under uncultured bacterium. RNAcentral describes it as "bacterial SSU rRNA". It matches the Rfam family "Bacterial small subunit ribosomal RNA", at positions 356 to 773 of the family's 1533-position model. The record is from RNAcentral.
GGGGAAUAUUGGACAAUGGGCGAAAGCCUGAUCCAGCAAUGCCGCGUGAGUGAAGAAGGCCUUAGGGUUGUAAAGCUCUUUCGCCUGCGACGAUGAUGACGGUAGCAGGAGAAGAAGCCCCGGCUAAUUCCGUGCCAGCAGCCGCGGUAAUACGGAAGGGGCUAGCGUUGUUCGGAAUUACUGGGCGUAAAGCGCGCGUAGGCGGCUCGACAAGUGAGGCGUGAAAGUCCUGGGCUCAACCCGGGGACUGCGCUUCAGACUGUCGGGCUAGAGUCCGGAAGAGGGUGGUGGAAUUCCGAGUGUAGAGGUGAAAUUCGUAGAUAUUCGGAGGAACACCGGUGGCGAAGGCGGCCACCUGGUCCGGUACUGACGCUCAAGUGCGAAAGCGUGGGGAGCAAAC